Molecule: ribosomal RNA, 497 nt
Filed under: uncultured bacterium
Lineage: Bacteria
Description: partial 16S ribosomal RNA
Rfam family: Bacterial small subunit ribosomal RNA
Source: RNAcentral
GAUGAGCGCUGGCGGCGUGCCUAAUACAUGCAAGUCGAGCGAACAGAUAAGGAGCUUGCUCCUUUGACGUUAGCGGCGGACGGGUGAGUAACACGUGGGUAACCUACCUAUAAGACUGGGAUAACUUCGGGAAACCGGAGCUAAUACCGGAUAAUAUUUCGAACCGCAUGGUUCGAUAGUGAAAGAUGGCUUUGCUAUCACUUAUAGAUGGACCCGCGCCGUAUUAGCUAGUUGGUAAGGUAACGGCUUACCAAGGCGACGAUACGUAGCCGACCUGAGAGGGUGAUCGGCCACACUGGAACUGAGACACGGUCCAGACUCCUACGGGAGGCAGCAGUAGGGAAUCUUCCGCAAUGGGCGAAAGCCUGACGGAGCAACGCCGCGUGAGUGAUGAAGGUCUUCGGAUCGUAAAACUCUGUUAUUAGGGAAGAACAUACGUGUAAGUAACUGUGCACGUCUUGACGGUACCUAAUCAGAAAGCCACGGCUAACUACGUG